UUUUUUUUUAAACUUCACUGCUCUGAGUCAGAAGCCAGAAUGGAUGUCCUACUUGUAGUCAUAGCUGCUGUGCCGCUCAUCUUGGGACAAGAAUAUGAGGAAGAACAAAUAUAUGAAGGAAUAUAUGAAGAUUAUCAGGUGGUCUAUUACACAGUCACUCCAUAUUACGAUGACUUUGGAGUCAACUUUACCCUUGACUAUUCCCAAUUUGAGGAGGAGGAUAGAAUGGCCAGUACUCAGUCCACUACACCAAAGGAGAGAUUAUACACAGAGAAGAACUGGGGCCAAGAAGGAAAAGAAGAUGGCCCCAGGGACAGAAAAGAAUCUACCACAGAGGCACCUUCAGCUAUGGAUGCUGCUGUGCCCACUCUGCAGCAUCACCUCCCACUCCUCCUUCUGCCCUGGGUUCUGCUGAGGUGGAUAUUGCUACUUUAGAAGGAGAGAGAAGGCUGCCAUGACUUCUUUGAAAAGGGGGUGGGGGGGGAGUGGAGUGCAGAAACUGGAAAAAGAAAUAAAUAAUUGAACCACAA
RNAcentral lists this long non-coding RNA (530 nucleotides) under Vombatus ursinus (common wombat). Its description in RNAcentral is "lncRNA (ENSVURG00010015609.1)". The record is from RNAcentral. Lineage: Eukaryota; Metazoa; Chordata; Mammalia; Diprotodontia; Vombatidae.